CAGUCGCCACGGGAAUACGAAGGGGGCUAGCGUUGUUCGGAAUUACUGGGCGUAAAGCGCACGUAGGCGGAUAUUUAAGUCAGGGGUGAAAUCCCGCAGCUCAACUGCGGAACUGCCUUUGAUACUGGGUAUCUUGAGUAUGGAAGAGGUUAGUGGAAUUGCGAGUGUAGAGGUGAAAUUUGUAGAUAUUCGCAGGAACACCAGUGGCGAAGGCGGCUAACUGGUCCAUAACUGACGCUGAGGUGCGAAAGCGUGGGGAGCAAACAGGAUUAGAGACCCCCGUAGUCCCUGUCUCUUAUAC
This 301-nucleotide ribosomal RNA is filed under the name uncultured bacterium. Its description in RNAcentral is "partial 16S ribosomal RNA". It matches the Rfam family "Bacterial small subunit ribosomal RNA", at positions 509 to 807 of the family's 1533-position model. The record is from RNAcentral.